UCGCGAGAUCGCGGCGAGUUUGGCGAGUUUCGCGUGUGUUAAAUCGUGCGACGUGACGUGUGUUCGCGUGGUGUCUCGCGAGAUAUACCGAUGAAUUUAAUUUUCGAGAAGAUCUGAUGGGAUUAGCUAUUGGUGCUCAUGAUGCAAAUAUUCAACAAGCGUGAAAAGUUGAUGACAUUACAAAUAUAGUUAGAAGAAAAUUCAUGCACAUUUAAGAUAUAUAGAGAGACGCAUGAAGCUGUUAAG
Molecule: long non-coding RNA, 246 nt
Organism: Temnothorax curvispinosus
Lineage: Eukaryota; Metazoa; Arthropoda; Insecta; Hymenoptera; Formicidae
Exons: 3
Source: RefSeq, a predicted model, not a curated record